Molecule: ribosomal RNA, 253 nt
Filed under: uncultured bacterium
Lineage: Bacteria
Description: partial 16S ribosomal RNA
Rfam family: Bacterial small subunit ribosomal RNA
Source: RNAcentral
UACGUAGGGGGCAAGCGUUGUCCGGAUUCAUUGGGCGUAAAGAGCGCGCAGGCGGUCGUUCAAGUCGCGUGUGAAAGCCCCCGGCUCAACUGGGGAGGGUCACGCGAUACUGAUCGACUCGAAGGCAGGAGAGGGUAGUGGAAUUCCCGGUGUAGUGGUGAAAUGCGUAGAUAUCGGGAGGAACACCAGUGGCGAAGGCGACUACCUGGCCUGUUCUUGACGCUGAGGAGCGAAAGCCAGGGGAGCAAACGGG